GGCGAGUUUGAUCAUGGCUCAGGACGAACGCUGGCGGCGUGCUUAACACAUGCAAGUCGAGCGGUGAACCUGCUUCGGUGGGGGAUCAGCGGCGAACGGGUGAGUAACACGUGAGCAACCUGCCUUCAGCUUCGGGAUAACUCCGGGAAACCGGGGCUAAUACCGGAUAUGACUUCUCGCCGCAUGGUGGGGGGUGGAAAGAUUUAUCGGCUGGAGAUGGGCUCGCGGCCUAUCAGCUUGUUGGUGGGGUUGUGGCCUACCAAGGCGACGACGGGUAGCCGGCCUGAGAGGGCGACCGGCCACACUGGGACUGAGACACGGCCCAGACUCCUACGGGAGGCAGCAGUGGGGAAUAUUGCGCAAUGGGCGGAAGCCUGACGCAGCGACGCCGCGUGCGGGAUGAAGGCCUUCGGGUUGUAAACCGCUUUCAGCAGGGACGAAUACAGACGGUACCUGCAGAAGAAGCGCCGGCUAACUACGUGCCAGCAGCCGCGGUAAUAA
Molecule: ribosomal RNA, 501 nt
Filed under: uncultured bacterium
Lineage: Bacteria
Description: bacterial SSU rRNA
Rfam family: Bacterial small subunit ribosomal RNA
Source: RNAcentral